GACGAACGCUGGCGGCGUGCUUAACACAUGCAAGUCGAACGGAAAGGCCCUGCUUUUGUGGGGUGCUCGAGUGGCGAACGGGUGAGUAACACGUGAGUAACCUGCCCUUGACUUUGGGAUAACUUCAGGAAACUGGGGCUAAUACCGGAUAGGAGCUCCUGCUGCAUGGUGGGGGUUGGAAAGUUUCGGCGGUUGGGGAUGGACUCGCGGCUUAUCGGCUUGUUGGUGGGGUAGUGGCUUACCAAGGCUUUGACGGGUAGCCGGCCUGAGAGGGUGACCGGCCACAUUGGGACUGAGAUACGGCCCAGACUCCUACGGGAGGCAGCAGUGGGGAAUAUUGCACAAUGGGCGGAAGCCUGAUGCAGCAACGCCGCGUGCGGGAUGACGGCCUUCGGGUUGUAAACCGCUUUCGCCUGUGACGAAGCGUGAGUGACGGCAAUGGGUAAAGAAGCACCGGCUAACUACGUG
RNAcentral lists this ribosomal RNA (468 nucleotides) under uncultured bacterium. RNAcentral describes it as "partial 16S ribosomal RNA". It matches the Rfam family "Bacterial small subunit ribosomal RNA", at positions 28 to 507 of the family's 1533-position model. The record is from RNAcentral.